CAGCAGUCGCCGCGGUAAUACGAAGGGGGCUAGCGUUGCUCGGAAUUACUGGGCGUAAAGGGAGCGUAGGCGGAUCGUUUAGUCAGGGGUGAAAUCCCGGGGCUCAACCUCGGAACUGCCUUUGAUACUGGCGAUCUUGAGUAUGGGAGAGGUGUGUGGAACUCCGAGUGUAGAGGUGAAAUUCGUAGAUAUUCGGAAGAACACCAGUGGCGAAGGCGACACACUGGCCCAUUACUGACGCUGAGGCUCGAAAGCGUGGGGAGCAAACAGGAUUAGAUACCCCAGUAGUCCCUGUCUCUUAUAC
This 304-nucleotide ribosomal RNA is filed under the name uncultured bacterium. RNAcentral's name for it is "partial 16S ribosomal RNA". It matches the Rfam family "Bacterial small subunit ribosomal RNA", at positions 509 to 807 of the family's 1533-position model. The record is from RNAcentral.